CUCCACCCCUCUGCUGUCAGGCACUGAACUGAUAAAUACAGGCUAGCUGGUUAGAAUCAACAGAAAAUCAACAUCCCGAAAGCCAAGCACCAUCAUGAAUGCCCUGGGCCUAGGGUGUCUCCUGCUUCUGGCACUGACAGGAACCAUCAGUGCCCAGGCGGUCGCUCCCGUGAGCACCUGGACCUGCGCGAACCGGAGAGGGUACUGCCGCCGCUUCUGCCUUGCCCACGAGGUACACAUAGGCCACUAUGGUUGCCCGCGGCGAUACAGGUGCUGCGUGCCAAAGAUCUAUCUUGUGGAAUGGACCAAGCCCAGAAGUGCCAGAUCCAUAUCAACUCCCCCCUAGCCAGAAUGCUGACACAGCACUGAAGCCAUUCUCAGCUGAAAGCAUGUCUGACCUGGCUUAAUGGGGCGAGGGGCUGUGCAGUGGGUGGCUGCCGUCUAUUCUGCUGAGCUUGGAUGACUGUCUAAAAACAAUAUACACCAGCACAGCCAAACUGGGUUCGAAC
Molecule: long non-coding RNA, 509 nt
Organism: Caretta caretta (loggerhead turtle)
Lineage: Eukaryota; Metazoa; Chordata; Testudines; Cheloniidae
Source: RefSeq, a predicted model, not a curated record